GAGGUCCUACGGGGGGCAGCAGUGAGGAAUAUUGGUCAAUGGGCGAGAGCCUGAACGAGCAAUGCCGCGUGAACGAGGAAGGUCUUCGGAUCGUAAAGUUCUGUUGAAGGGGAAAAAGAGCGGAGAGAGGAAAUGAACUCCGAUUGAUAUUACCCUUCGAGGAAGUCACGGCUAACUACGUGCCAGCAGCCGCGGUAAUACGUAGGUGGCGAGCGUUAUCCGGAAUGAUUGGGCGUAAAGGGUGCGUAGGCGGCCUGCUAAGUCUGGAGUGAAAGGUACCGGCUCAACCGGUACAGGCUCUGGAA
RNAcentral lists this ribosomal RNA (305 nucleotides) under uncultured bacterium. RNAcentral's name for it is "bacterial SSU rRNA". It matches the Rfam family "Bacterial small subunit ribosomal RNA", at positions 333 to 631 of the family's 1533-position model. The record is from RNAcentral.